RNAcentral lists this ribosomal RNA (492 nucleotides) under uncultured bacterium. RNAcentral describes it as "partial 16S ribosomal RNA". It matches the Rfam family "Bacterial small subunit ribosomal RNA", at positions 29 to 507 of the family's 1533-position model. The record is from RNAcentral.
AGUGAACGCUGGCGGUAUGCCUAACACAUGCAAGUCGAACGGCAGCACAGUAAGAGCUUGCUCUUACGGGUGGCGAGUGGCGGACGGGUGAGGAAUACAUCGGAAUCUACUUUUUCGUGGGGGAUAACGUAGGGAAACUUACGCUAAUACCGCAUACGACCUACGGGUUAAAGCAGGGGAUCUUCGGACCUUGCGCGAUUGAAUGAGCCGAUGUCGGAUUAGCUAGUUGGCGGGGUAAAGGCCCACCAAGGCGACGAUCCGUAGCUGGUCUGAGAGGAUGAUCAGCCACACUGGAACUGAGACACGGUCCAGACUCCUACGGGAGGCAGCAGUGGGGAAUAUUGGACAAUGGGCGCAAGCCUGAUCCAGCCAUACCGCGUGGGUGAAGAAGGCCUUCGGGUUGUAAAGCCCUUUUGUUGGGAAAGAAAAGCAGCAGGUUAAUACCCCGCUGUUCUGACGGUACCCAAAGAAUAAGCACCGGCUAACUUCGUG